UGAAGUGUCCAAUCUGGAUUCUAAGUGUAC
Molecule: non-coding RNA, 30 nt
Filed under: Mus musculus (house mouse)
Lineage: Eukaryota; Metazoa; Chordata; Mammalia; Rodentia; Muridae
Source: RNAcentral